CUGGGAUUCAGUGUCUACAACAUUAAGAGCCCUCUGUGUUCCUGAGGCAAGUGCUUAAAGAAUAUCAACACUGAAGGAUGAUAGAGUGAAGAAUACGUGUCAGUGAUCAUACUAUCAAAUAGAACCAAUUACAGCCACCACCAACCUUUUUAUUCUCUGAGGAAAAGAAGUUUCUAUGAAUGCUUAACCUAUGGAUACAGAAAAUGCCCUCAGCAGAGGAGUCUCUUGCAAAGACCUCAUCCUUAGCUGCUGAGACUAACCUGCCACAAAGCAUUCAGAGCUCUUUAGUUCAACUCAGAGCUCAGAACGAGGCGAGCAGUAACAGUACUCGGUCUUAAAGGCAAGAAGCAAGACUCCUGGCUGUCCCAAAAUCAGUGGGUGAAGAGCCACCAGGAAAAUCAUAUAAGUGACUACCCAUGAAUCAGCAGGUUGGAUUUUUGAAAAUGUGUGUGUGUGUGUUUGUCUGUGCAUGUGUGUGUGUGUUAUAUGUUGCUGUGUGAUUUGCACAUGAAUAUAAGUGUGUGUUCCAUAGCAUGUAUAUGGAUGUAUCCUUGUCUUCUGCCUUCAGACAUGGUCUCUUAUUUUGCCAUCACUUGUGACAGGCCACCUGGCCCAUAAGUUUUCAGGAAUUCUGUAUCUGCCUCCCAUGCUACUGGAAGGGCUCUGAGAGGACAGACAGUUUGUAGCUGAUUUCUUGGGGUUGGAACUCACUUUUGAAGUAUAUAUUUACCGACUCAGCCUACAUUGCUUUUUGUGCAGGAUCUUGCUGUACUGCACAGGGUGGCCUUGAACACCUAGGAUAAGCAAACCUCCCACCUCAGACUCCUGAGUAGCUGGAACUAUAGGCACAUACCUCCAUGCUUAGCGUCAGCUGUCUAAAGUUACACAGAAGUGGACACUGAGAAGACAUCCACCUUGUGGUGGACAGCAUUUUAGAAGGCAGAACAAAGAACUCGAAGGCAGAAUCUUUAGCUGAAAGUUACCAGGAAAGCUCACCAGCCUCUUCGGAAGAUUUCACUUGCAUGCCUGCCGACUUGACAGGUCAUCCAAGCCAUGAGAAAGUGAUACCUCAUCCCUGAGAGGUGCCUAUCACAUAGACAGUGUUUGUGUCUGCUUUGUCACAGAACAUAGAACACAAUGGCUUGUGAGGUAAGAAAGCACGCCUAGUACUGGGUGCUUAUGAAAGAGUUUUCUCG
RNAcentral lists this long non-coding RNA (1196 nucleotides) under Mus spicilegus (steppe mouse). Its description in RNAcentral is "lncRNA (ENSMSIG00000023938.1)". The record is from RNAcentral. Lineage: Eukaryota; Metazoa; Chordata; Mammalia; Rodentia; Muridae.